RNAcentral lists this long non-coding RNA (589 nucleotides) under Vigna radiata. Its description in RNAcentral is "long non-coding RNA (VRAD_LNC015097)". The record is from RNAcentral. Lineage: Eukaryota; Viridiplantae; Streptophyta; Magnoliopsida; Fabales; Fabaceae.
GUUAAUCAAAGCUAUAAAUAUGAGAUGAUGUGGCCUGCUUAUGGAGAACUAGGUCUCGAAGUGGGAGGCUAAAGUAUUAAUGCAAACUAUAGGGAAUGAGGGAGCUUGAUAAAUCAAGUGAGGGUUAUGCCUUUGAGGAAAGUGGAGAACACUUUGCAUAGGAUCAUGUCUUUGGUGGAAUGGAACCUAACUUGGGGAAAGUAAGAAUGUAUAUGGUUGUUCGGGUCGGUAGUGCCAUUGUAUUUGUCCAUAUGGAGUGCCUUCCAUCCUACGGGAAAUGCGUCUCCACAAUACCAUCUAUGAAAGGAUGUCUCAUUAUGCCCAUGAUCAUUGUGGAUGUGUUAGUUGUGUCAAUUGUUUGUUGGUUUAUUCCCUGCUCAACUGUCUUAGAGUUAGUUUGAGGUUGGCCUCCUCCCUUUUCUUCCUCAUCCCCCAAUCUCCUCUUUAACACUCUUAUUGCCUUGGUGUCUUUGACGCUUCAUUUCCACAGCUCCGGCAAUUCAGAAGGUUCAUUCCUUCAUUUGCAUCAUUGUUACGUCCAUUGUUUGCCAUGUUCCUCGUGGACACCAUGCUUGAAGAUGCAACUCGG